UAGGGAAUCUUCCGCAAUGGACGCAAGUCUGACGGAGCAACGCCGCGUGAGUGAAGAAGGAUUUCGGUUCGUAAAACUCUGUUGUUAGAGAAGAACAGCGCAUAGAGUAACUGUUAUGCGUGUGACGGUAUCUAACCAGAAAGCCACGGCUAACUACGUGCCAGCAGCCGCGGUAAUACGUAGGUGGCAAGCGUUGUCCGGAUUUAUUGGGCGUAAAGCGAGCGCAGGCGGUCAAUUAAGUCUGAUGUGAAAGCCCCCGGCUCAACCGGGGAGGGUCAUUGGAAACUGGUUGACUUGAGUGCAGACGAGGAGAGUGGAAUUCCAUGUGUAACGGUGAAAUGCGUAGAUAUAUGGAGGAACACCAGUGGCGAAGGCGACUCUCUGGUCUGUAACUGACGCUGAGGCUCGAAAGCGUGGGUAGCAAACAGG
RNAcentral lists this ribosomal RNA (429 nucleotides) under Bacteroidota bacterium. RNAcentral describes it as "Bacteroidetes bacterium partial 16S ribosomal RNA". It matches the Rfam family "Bacterial small subunit ribosomal RNA", at positions 355 to 776 of the family's 1533-position model. Lineage: Bacteria; Pseudomonadati; Bacteroidota. The record is from RNAcentral.